UGUUAAAAAUUUCAUCAAUUUCUACGGUUAAAAAUUGGUAUAACUCACGAAAUAACCAGAUAGUUACACGUGAAAUGCCAUAUGUACCUUAUGUUGACGUACAGGGACCAAUUUCUAACUGUAAAAAUAGAUGAAAUUUUUAAUA
Gossypium arboreum is the source of this 145-nucleotide non-coding RNA. NCBI's taxonomy places the organism in Eukaryota, Viridiplantae, Streptophyta, Magnoliopsida, Malvales, Malvaceae. The record is from Rfam.